UGCAGCACAUUGCGAACCUUGCUGGGAACAAAACUCUAGUUUUGCCUGUGCCUGCAUUUAACGUCAUCAAUGGAGGAUCACAUGGUUUCACUGUCAACCUGAAUUUUACGAACCUUGUUGGGAACAGAACUCGGACAUGUUUCCAAGGGUGUAAAACCCAAAGGCAGGGGAGCUUCGAAGAAGGCUCCUGCUAGAAAGCAGAAAAUGCCAACUGCCGUUGAUAGUGAAGAGGAAGAUAAUAAGGAGCUUGAGCUGAAAGAACAACUGUCAG
Molecule: long non-coding RNA, 271 nt
Organism: Magnolia sinica
Lineage: Eukaryota; Viridiplantae; Streptophyta; Magnoliopsida; Magnoliales; Magnoliaceae
Exons: 3
Source: RefSeq, a predicted model, not a curated record